This 407-nucleotide ribosomal RNA is filed under the name uncultured eukaryote. RNAcentral describes it as "SSU rRNA". It matches the Rfam family "Eukaryotic small subunit ribosomal RNA", at positions 202 to 609 of the family's 1831-position model. The record is from RNAcentral.
UGUAUUUAUUAGAUAAAAAACCAAUGCCCUUCGGGGCUUUUUGGUGAUUCAUGAUAACUUUACGGAUCGCAUAGCCUUGCGCUGGCGACGGUUCAUUCAAAUUUCUGCCCUAUCAACUUUCGAUGGUAAGGUAUUGGCUUACCAUGGUUUCAACGGGUAACGGGGAAUUAGGGUUCGAUUCCGGAGAGGGAGCCUGAGAAACGGCUACCACAUCCAAGGAAGGCAGCAGGCGCGCAAAUUACCCAAUCCCGACACGGGGAGGUAGUGACAAUAAAUACUGAUACAGGGCUCUUUUGGGUCUUGUAAUUGGAAUGAGUACAAUUUAAACCUCUUAACGAGGAACAAUUGGAGGGCAAGUCUGGUGCCAGCAGCCGCGGUAAUUCCAGCUCCAAUAGCGUAUAUUAAAG